GGUCUCCAAGCAGAAAAGUCUCAGAAACUUCCUUAAGACACAUGUGGCUGAUGAAGAAUGGGUUCUUAAUAAUUCCCUUUGGGACCAUGAUGAACUUUAGGUGGCUCCCAUUUGAUGCUUUUUCUACAGGGUCUUCAGGGAAUUUAGACUGCCAAGAAACUAAGAGUCUUGUACAAAGCAUAUGCAUAACAUCAAUGGGCUUAGUGAGUAUUUGUGGAUAAUGAGGUUGAUGACAAAUUAUCACUUAUUUGUUAUGUCUCAGAGUGGUUAACAUGUACUGGAAUGUUACUUGUUAAAAAUGUUUUCCUCCUACGCUUUGGUUUUUAACACCCCUUGAUGAUUCCUUUCAUAGAAAUUGAUGUAAGAAAUUGUCAUCCUGUUCAUUACCUCCGAACCAGCAAUUACAAAGUGUUUGUAGAGCUUCAGUGAAUUCUCUUUAAGCCUCUGUUAAACUGGAUUUUCAGCAUUUAUGUAAUUAUAAAUGAUAUUUGUGCAAAUGAAAACUUUGCAAAUGUAGUUUUAAAAAGACUUAACAGAUAUUUGCACAAACUCAAAUUUUUACAAAUGUAGCUUUAAAAUGACAUCUCCAGUAUUUCUCCUAAAGGAAGAAUUAACUUUGCUGGGGAACACAACUUGAAUGGCCAAUUUGUGUGAAUAGUUGGAACCCAGGGUCAAAGAGGAGAGGGUACUAGGGGAAGAUAGGCUAUAUUCCUCUGCACAAGAAAAUGGUCUGAGAUGUUUAGGCAUAGAUAUGCCUAAUAUUUACAUUUAAGUUUUAUGGAUAACUAGAAGUACAAACCAUUUAUUUUCUUAUGAAGUCCCCAUGUAAUGGAGAUGAAGAGAGCAUAUAGUAUUAUCACAGUACUAUAUAAGUAGGAUUUGUUAGACUUUAACUACACAUAUGCCCUUUAUGAUUGUAAUUAUUUGAACACAUUUCUUGUGAGCUUGGAAAUUGUCUUCCUAGUUUCCAAAAGGAAAGUCACCAUUUUGUGCACUUGUGCUCUGAAUUAAUUCAAUGAUACCUUUGUUUGAUGGCAGAAUACCAUAGAUAACAGCUUGUCAUUGCCUUUCCCACUCCUUUCCAGCAGUGGCUGUGACAACAUGGCACCAAAGCUACUGUGCUAAUUCUCCUUUGCCAUUUUCCCAUAAAUAAAGACAACGAACUCCUCUGUAAAUUGUGCCAUCAUUGUUGAUAUUCUUUAGAACAGAGACAGUAUUGAAUAAAGCUUAAAAAUUUUGCUGAUUAAAUUUCAGGCCCCUCUAUAGGAAUAAAAAUAAGUCCACAGGUUAAAGAUUAGGAGAAACCAUGCUGUAUUCCAGUACUGAUCAAAUUUUUUUGUAUUGAUCAAAAUAUUUGUCAAAGUGCUUUUAUUUAUUGGAGGGAAUAGAGAGGAGGUUUUGUCUCUACAUUGACUCUGGGUUUAGUCCUUAUGUAUAUUUUCAGUGUAAUAGCUUUGUUACAUGCAUUCUACCUUGUAAAUCACCUCCUAAAUAACCAAACUCUCUGAGUCACUGUGUCACGGCCAAUAGCGUGAUCAUCAUCAUGUCUAUCAUAAUUCUUGUUGAUUGCAGGUUUCUGAAUUCCUAUUCUCUUGUAUAUUCCUUUAUGAUUCAAACUUUCUAUUUUUAGCCUCCAAUCCUUAUCCUGAGUUUAAGCAAUUAAAUAUUAUGAUGUGUCAGAAGUGGAAUAAAACUAAAACUGUUCAUUAUAUUGAAGUAUCACAACAAUUAUUUCUUUUGUGAUGCAAGGGAAGUUACUGGGAAGUGAAGUGCACAGGAACUUAUUAGAACUUCAGUGUUUCUGAACAAACUUUGUGAGCAUAAGUUUAGAAAGCUGAAAUGAUUUUUGUGAGCCAGUUUGUGUGUGUGUGUUUGUUAUUAUUAUUUUUUUGAGGGAAGCAGAAAGAAAAAAUAAUAAUUUUCAAAUAACUAACCUGCAGGCUGCAAUGGGCUUGACAAGGAAUCACGCACACCAGUUCCUUUGCUAAGCAGGCUGGUGGUGGCUACAGGGCCGGUUAUAAUGAGUUCUACAUAAUGAGUUCUACUAAAAACAGGUUCUUAACCUCUUCACUGUGACAUAAAAACAGCACCAAUAUUCCCAGAUUCCCACAUACACACACACACACACACACACACACACACACACACACACACUAAUUACUCUGUGUAUGAAUAUUUUACUUUCAAAACUAUCAUAAUAAUAGGAAGAAGACACCAAAUUAGCCAAUAUAGAAAGUGUUAUUUUCUGGAUUUUGUUUUUGUAUACAUGUGAAAAAAAUUAAAUCAAAUAUAAAAAUGACCACCACAACAAAAUUUCUUCCAAGUUUUCAGGUGGUUUUGUAUAUGCCUUGAUACCUGAUUGUAUUCUCCUGCUUUGCACAGGUUUCCCUCUGAGGGAUAUGCUACUCUAAAUGUUUUCUCUUCUUUCUGAGGUAGGCUCAGACAUUCUGGGACAUUUUGUCUUUAAUUUUUUCAUUCCUUUAUGGAUUUAUUCGACACACACAUAUCACUGAGCCCACAACUUAUCUGGUACUGUAUUAAGCUCUGGAGAAAGAGAGAGAGAAAAAAAACCUAGUCUUUGUCAUCAAGGGGCUCACAAUCUAGUGGAGGAAACAUGCACAGAUACGUGUAAUUCAGAUAGUAACAGGAAUAAUAUGUAUAUAUAGAGUAUAUUAUGAAAUAACAAAGAAAAGUCAUUUCUUGAAAAGCUGAAGAAAAUCUUCUAGCAGGUUUCUGAAUUCUCAGUCUCUUGUAUAUUCCUUUAUGAUUCAAACUUUCUAUUUUUAGCCUCCAAUCCUUACCCUGAGUUUAAGCAAUUAAACAUUAUAAUAUGUCAGAAGUGGAAUAAAACUAAAAAUGUUAAUUAUAUUAAAGUAUCACAAAAAUUAUUUCUUUUGUGAUGCAAGGGAAGUAAUUGGGAGGUGAAGUGGUAGGUGAAUUGGUAGGUGACAUUAGAAUUUAGCUUUCAAGUGUGAAUAUGGAUUAGAUGGGUAAGGAAGUGAGUCCUUGCCUAGUGAGCAGCAUGGACAAUGACACUGAGGUGGUAAACAUCACAGGUGCAAGAAGAAAUUAUAGGCAAUACACUAGAGCACAGAGAAGGAAGAACCAUGGAGUGUGAAGAAGGAAAGCUGAAGAUGUAGACUGGGCCCAGAUCUGGAGAGCCUACUGACCUAUAAAGAGAUUGACUUGAUUCUCCAGCUGAGGUAAAUUGCUCAUGUAUUUUGUUUCUCAAUUUCCUCUCCACAUAGUCUGAGUUAUUUCACAGGUAUUUUUUCAAUUCAUGAUACAAAUCACUUCUGGAUCAUCAAAUAUGCUUUAGUCCUAAACUGAAAAUAAUAAUUUUUUGUUCUCAGGUUGAAGUAGAUAUCUUCCUUCCAACCAUUAGGUUUGGAAAAGUGAGUUGAGGAAAUUAUUUUCAUUAUUAUUAUUUUGUAUUUUCAAUUGAAAAGUAACAAUUGUAUAUUUUAUGGAGUACAACAUGACAUUUUGAUAUAUGUAUACACUGUGAAAUGAUUCUAUCAAGGUAUUUAACAUAUCCAUCAUCUCGCAUUUCUAUCAUUUCUUAUGGUGAAACAUUUAAAUCUACUCUUCUGGCAAUUUUAAAGUAUGCAAUACAUUAUGAUUAACUACAGUCACUCUGCUGUGCAAUAGAUUUCAAACACUUCUCCUCCCACCUAACUGAAACAUUUCCCUCUUUGACAAACAUCUCUCCUUUUCAACCUCUACCACCCCCAGUCUCUGGUAAUCACUAUUCUAUUCUCUAUUUCUGAGUUCAACUUUUCAGAUUCCACAUAUAAGUGAAGUCAUGGGUAUUUGUCUUUCUGUGCCUGGCUUAUUUCACUUAGCAUAAUAUCCUCUAGGUUCAUCCAUGUUGUCACAAAUGACAGAAUUUCCUUCUUAAGAUUGCAUAGUAUUCCACUGGGUAUAGAUACUACAUUUUCUUUAUCCAUUCAUCUGUUGAUGGAUAGAUGCUUAAGUUGAUUCCACAUUAGCUACUUUGAAUAAUGCUGCAAUGAAGAUAGGAGUGCAAAUAUCUCUUCAACUUUCCAAUUUCAAUUAUUUUAGGCAUAUAACCAAAAGUUAGAUGAAUGAAUCCUAUGUUAAUUCUAUUUUUAUUCUUUGGGAACAUCUAUACUGUUUUCUAUAAUGUGUGUACUAAUUUACAUUCCCACCAACAGUGUAUGAAUGUUCUCUUUUCUCCUUGCCCUUGUUAACACUUGUCUUUCAUCUUUUUGAUAACAGUCAUUCUAAUUGGGGUGAGAUGAUAUCUCAAUGUGAUUGUGACUUGCAUUUUCCUGAUGAUUAAUGAUGUUGGGCAUUUUUUAUAAACAUAUUAGCCAUUUGUAUGUCUUCUUUUGAGAAAUGUCUAUUUAGGCUAAUUGACCAUUUUUAAAUCGUGUGAUUUGUUUCCUUGCUAUUGAGUUGUUUCAAUUACUUAUAUAUUUUGGAUAUUAACCGCUUAUCAGAUAUAUGGUUUACAAACAUCUUAUCCCAACCUAUGGGUUGUCUCUUCAUUCUGUUGAUUAUUUCCUUGGUUGUACAGAAGUUUUUUUAGUUUGAUUCAAUGUCAUUUGUCUAUUCUUGCUUUGUCUGUGCUUUUGAAAUCAUAUCCAAGACAUCAUUGCUGAAACUAAUUUUAUGGAGUUUGCCCCCAAUGUUUCUAGUAAUUUUACAGUUUCAGGUCUUUCAUUUAAGUAUUUAAUACAUUUUUAGUUGAUUUUGGUACAUGGUGUGAGACAAAGGUCUAAUUUCAUUUUGUUGCAUGUGAACAUCCAGUUUUUUCAACAUCAUUUAUUAAAGAGACUCUUUCCCCAUUGUGUGAUCUUGGCACCUUUGUCAAAAAUCAAUUGGUCAUAAAUGCAAUGGAUUUAUUUCUGAGCUCUCUAUCUAGGUUCAUUGGUCAAUGUGUUUGUUUUUAUGCCAGUAUCAUGCUGCUUUGGUCACUACAGCUUUGCAGUAUAUUUUGAAAUCAGAUAAUGUAAUGCUUUCAGCUUUGCACUUCUUAAGAUUGCCUUGGUUACUUUGAUUAUUUUGUGGCUUCAUACAAACUUUAGAAUUUUUUUUCUAUUGUGAUAAAUGACAUUGGAUUUUGAUAGGAUUGCUUUAAAUCUAUAGGUCAUUUUGGAUAGUAUAAACACUUUAACAAUAUUAUUUCAAUCCAUGA
RNAcentral lists this long non-coding RNA (5164 nucleotides) under Homo sapiens (human). Its description in RNAcentral is "HSALNT0087404". The record is from RNAcentral. Lineage: Eukaryota; Metazoa; Chordata; Mammalia; Primates; Hominidae.